RNAcentral lists this ribosomal RNA (466 nucleotides) under uncultured bacterium. RNAcentral's name for it is "partial 16S ribosomal RNA". It matches the Rfam family "Bacterial small subunit ribosomal RNA", at positions 28 to 507 of the family's 1533-position model. The record is from RNAcentral.
GAUGAACGCUGGCGGCGUGCUUAACACAUGCGAGUCGAACGAUGAAGCCCAGCUUGCCGGGUGGAUUAGUGGCGAACGGGUGAGUAACACGUGAGUAACCUGCCCUUAACUCUGGGAUAAGCCUGGUAAACUGGGUCUAAUACCGGAUAGGAGCGUCCACCGCAUGGUGGGUGUUGGAAAGAUUUAUCGGUUUUGGAUGGACUCGCGGCCUAUCAGCUUGUUGGUGAGGUAAUGGCUCACCAAGGCGACGACGGGUAGCCGGCCUGAGAGGGUGACCGGCCACACUGGGACUGAGACACGGCCCAGACUCCUACGGGAGGCAGCAGUGGGGAAUAUUGCACAAUGGGCGCAAGCCUGAUGCAGCGACGCCGCGUGAGGGAUGACGGCCUUCGGGUUGUAAACCUCUUUCAGUAGGGAAGAAGCGAAAGUGACGGUACCUGCAGAAGAAGCACCGGCUAACUACGUG